Molecule: ribosomal RNA, 424 nt
Filed under: Verrucomicrobiota bacterium
Lineage: Bacteria; Pseudomonadati; Verrucomicrobiota
Description: Verrucomicrobia bacterium partial 16S ribosomal RNA
Rfam family: Bacterial small subunit ribosomal RNA
Source: RNAcentral
UGAGGAAUAUUGGUCAAUGGGCGAGAGCCUGAACCACCCCAGUAGCGUGCAGGAUGUCGUCCCUAUUGGUUGUAAACUUCUUUUUUAUGGGAAUAAAGUGAGGGACGUGUCCCUUAUUGCAUUUACCAUACGAAUAAGGACCGGCUAAUUCCUUUCCAGCAGCCGCGGUAAUACGGCAGGUCCAGGCGUUAUCCGGAUUUAUUGGGUUUAAAGGGAGUGUAGGCGGUUGGUUAAGCGUGUUGUGAAAUGUAGAUGCUCAACAUCUGACUUGCAGCGCGAACUGGCUGACUUGAGUACACACAACGUAGGCGGAAUUCAUGGUGUAGCGGUGAAAUGCUUAGAUAUCAUGAAGAACUCCGAUUGCGAAGGCAGCUUACGGGAGUGUUACUGACGCUUAAGCUCGAAGGUGCGGGUAGCGAACAGG